Molecule: long non-coding RNA, 835 nt
Organism: Cyprinus carpio (common carp)
Lineage: Eukaryota; Metazoa; Chordata; Actinopteri; Cypriniformes; Cyprinidae
Source: Ensembl
ACACUAAUUUGGACCAUUCAGGUUUUCAUUGUGUAGCAGUUUCUAAUGUUAUUUAAUCUUGUUCUGUUGUUUUGUAGAUCUGGGAUUCUUUGACUCUUUAACUGUGCCGUUGUCCUCUACUUCCUGGCCUUUGGUUUUUCAGACAAACAGAAUAAGAGAUGUGUUUGGACCAGACAGAGCUCUGGGACGUGUGGACAGACAUUCACUGUGAUGAUGGACAUCUCCUCAUGGACAGAAGCAUAACCACUGCUGGACAUGGUUCCGGGGCUCGGGGGGGACCCGAAUCAUCCCCACCCCUUCAUUCACACAACACUCACUCACAUCGCAGAGAUCUGGUUGGGAUCGAACCAGCAACCUCUGAACCAUGAGGCAGCGCUCUUACCUGUGAGCCACAGAUCUCUUGCUUGAAUGUGUGCUGGAACUUAUAUUUCACUGUUCACCUGAAUGUGGUUUUACAAUAAGCUGGUUAAAGCUUUGGCAGAGUCUUUCCUGAAUCACACCCACUCCUUCAUAUCUCAAAGAUCUGGCUGGGAUCUAACCAGCAACCUCUGAACCAUGAGGCAGCGCUCUUACCUGUGAGCCACAGAUAUCUUGUUGCAAAGUGUUAAGUAACUUAUAUUUCACCACUCACCUGUGAUAUAAACCAGGUAAAUUUUGACAUGUUCAGGUGGGAUUUGAAUCCUUGUCUGGAUCACAGCCUUCACUUCCAAGCACAUGUAUUUAGCUACUAGUGCCACCGUGGCUUUCAAAAAGAGAGCUGGCAUUUAGAGCACUGCUUUUGAUAUAUGACGACAAUUUAACACAAGCAAUAAAGGGAUUUGAACUCAGCUCUCCA